UCUACGGGAGGCAGCAGUGGGGAAUAUUGGACAAUGGGCGAAAGCCUGAUCCAGCCAUGCCGCGUGUGUGAAGAAGGUCUUCGGAUUGUAAAGCACUUUAAGUUGGGAGGAAGGGCAGUUGCCUAAUACGUAACUGUUUUGACGUUACCGACAGAAUAAGCACCGGCUAACUCUGUGCCAGCAGCCGCGGUAAU
RNAcentral lists this ribosomal RNA (194 nucleotides) under uncultured Pseudomonas sp. Its description in RNAcentral is "partial 16S ribosomal RNA". It matches the Rfam family "Bacterial small subunit ribosomal RNA", at positions 338 to 524 of the family's 1533-position model. Lineage: Bacteria; Pseudomonadati; Pseudomonadota; Gammaproteobacteria; Pseudomonadales; Pseudomonadaceae. The record is from RNAcentral.